This 466-nucleotide ribosomal RNA is filed under the name Vreelandella stevensii. Its description in RNAcentral is "partial 16S ribosomal RNA". It matches the Rfam family "Bacterial small subunit ribosomal RNA", at positions 338 to 795 of the family's 1533-position model. The record is from RNAcentral. Lineage: Bacteria; Pseudomonadati; Pseudomonadota; Gammaproteobacteria; Oceanospirillales; Halomonadaceae.
CCUACGGUGUGGCAGCAGUGGGGAAUAUUGGACAAUGGGCGAAAGCCUGAUCCAGCCAUGCCGCGUGUGUGAAGAAGGCCUUCGGGUUGUAAAGCACUUUCAGUGGGGAAGAAAGCCUUGGGGCUAAUACCCUCGAGGAAGGACAUCACCCACAGAAGAAGCACCGGCUAACUCCGUGCCAGCAGCCGCGGUAAUACGGAGGGUGCGAGCGUUAAUCGGAAUUACUGGGCGUAAAGCGCGCGUAGGCGGUCUGAUAAGCCGGUUGUGAAAGCCCCGGGCUCAACCUGGGAACGGCAUCCGGAACUGUCAGGCUAGAGUGCAGGAGAGGAAGGUAGAAUUCCCGGUGUAGCGGUGAAAUGCGUAGAGAUCGGGAGGAAUACCAGUGGCGAAGGCGGCCUUCUGGACUGACACUGACGCUGAGGUGCGAAAGCGUGGGUAGCAAACAGGAUUAGAUACCCGGGUAGUC